AAACACACAAGUGUAUGUGCUAAAGUAAAGAUAGAGUUAUAAGCACAGUCAAUCGCAAACACAAAGAUUUAUAGUGGUUCGGAGCUUCCACUGCUCCUACAUCCACUCCCCAAACACCUUUGGGAAUUUCCACUAUAAUCAGCGAUUACAGUCCGGUAGUUUUGCGAGUACACUACCCAACUCGUUGUUUUACCCCGGGCUAACAACGAACCCUACAAUCCCCCA
RNAcentral lists this long non-coding RNA (225 nucleotides) under Phoenix dactylifera (date palm). Its description in RNAcentral is "long non-coding RNA (PDAC_LNC012479)". Lineage: Eukaryota; Viridiplantae; Streptophyta; Magnoliopsida; Arecales; Arecaceae. The record is from RNAcentral.